UUGGUUCAAGGACGCACCUAAAACCUGCAGGGACACUAGCCAUCGAGGCCUGCUCACCCCUGGUCUAGAAUGAACAUGGCAGCAGAUCUGAACAAAACCAGAACACAAGCAAUGAGGAAUAUCCCAAAAUUUCUCCACAGCUAUGUGAGAAACUGAUAAGAUACAGAAGACGGAUAGAUAGAUCCCUCGGAUUUUUUAUGGGAGUGUGAACAUAUAGGGUUAGGUUGCUACGAUAAGAAUUUAUAGCUGACACUGGGUUAUUUCUGAGUAAAGUAUACCGGUGAGGACGGAGUGCAGCUCAAACUAUCACAUCACACUGGGCAUACAAACAAAAAGGAGAAGAACAGAUCCACAAACUAUCCUCUGUGACAUGUGUGCAGAGGACAGGAAACCAGCAAAGAAGACGUGCAUGAAGUGUGAGAUCUCAAUGUGUGUCCAGCACCUCCAGCCUUUACCACCACUUGAAAAGGUGGAGGUGUUGUGGAACUUUGAUGUCUCCUCACUCUUCUUCUACAGCAGAACCAGACAGCACCAGAGGGAAGAAAUAAUAACUAUGGAGAUGAGCCUGAACAACAAGGAACUGACUCCAUUUGUACGACUGGGAAAGGAAAAUGUCCAAAACACGACCCAGAAGCAAGAAUGGAAGUGCUCAUGUGGGAAAGCUUACUACAGGGAUGGUAAUGGAUACAGAAAUAAUAUGUCCCGCUUUUCUUCCCAGGCUAAUUGUUCUUGUGGAAAAAUGAUUGGUGGUCCAUGUGUCACAGAAAUGGUUUGUAAACUCUGUUAAUUCAAACUCUGCUGAUCAUUUAGUCAUUUUCUGUCCCUGUAUGAAUAUCAAUGUAACUGACUGUCUUUCACAUUCAUAAACUGUGAAGACAUUGUGCUGCUUCAGUGAUUAACUUGUUGUGCGAUGUAUCACAUAUGAAAGUAAUGUAAAUUAAAAAAGUAAAACAAUUUUGUUUUUUUGUUAAUUAAAAUAUUCUUAGCUCCAGUGUUUGCUUUAAAUGUAGCAACAAAUUCUUUUAGUUU
Molecule: long non-coding RNA, 1029 nt
Organism: Pundamilia nyererei
Lineage: Eukaryota; Metazoa; Chordata; Actinopteri; Cichliformes; Cichlidae
Exons: 3
Source: RefSeq, a predicted model, not a curated record